This 650-nucleotide ribosomal RNA is filed under the name Arthrobacter sp. A23MG2. RNAcentral's name for it is "bacterial SSU rRNA". It matches the Rfam family "Bacterial small subunit ribosomal RNA", at positions 131 to 794 of the family's 1533-position model. The record is from RNAcentral. Lineage: Bacteria; Bacillati; Actinomycetota; Actinomycetes; Micrococcales; Micrococcaceae.
CUUGACUCUGGGAUAAGCCUGGGAAACUGGGUCUAAUACCGGAUAUGACUCCUCAUCGCAUGGUGGGGGGUGGAAAGCUUUUUGUGGUUUUGGAUGGACUCGCGGCCUAUCAGCUUGUUGGUGAGGUAAUGGCUCACCAAGGCGACGACGGGUAGCCGGCCUGAGAGGGUGACCGGCCACACUGGGACUGAGACACGGCCCAGACUCCUACGGGAGGCAGCAGUGGGGAAUAUUGCACAAUGGGCGAAAGCCUGAUGCAGCGACGCCGCGUGAGGGAUGACGGCCUUCGGGUUGUAAACCUCUUUCAGUAGGGAAGAAGGGAAAGUGACGGUACCUGCAGAAGAAGCGCCGGCUAACUACGUGCCAGCAGCCGCGGUAAUACGUAGGGCGCAAGCGUUAUCCGGAAUUAUUGGGCGUAAAGAGCUCGUAGGCGGUUUGUCGCGUCUGCCGUGAAAGUCCGGGGCUCAACUCCGGAUCUGCGGAGGGUACGGGCAGACUAGAGUGAUGUAGGGGAGACUGGAAUUCCUGGUGUAGCGGUGAAAUGCGCAGAUAUCAGGAGGAACACCGAUGGCGAAGGCAGGUCUCUGGGCAUUAGCUGACGCUGAGGAGCGAUAGCAUGGGGAGCGAACAGGAUUAGAUACCCUGGUAGU